CUUUACUGCAACUUGACGUUGGAACUUGGCUGUAUUUGUGUAGGAUAGGUGGGAGACUUUGAAGCAGGGCCGCCAGGUCUUGCGGAGUCGUCGUUGAAAUACCACCCUGGUGCUGACGAGUUUCUAACCGUGUCCGUAAGCCGGACAUGAGACAGCGUCUGGUGGGUAGUUUGACUGGGGCGGUCGCCUCCUAAAAGGUAACGGAGGCAUUCAAAGGUCCCCUCAGCGUGGUCGGUAAUCACGCGCAGAGUGCAAACGCAUAAGGGGGCUUAACUGCGAGACCGACAGGUCGAGCAGGUACGAAAGUAGGAGUUAGUGAUCCCGCGGUUUAGCGCGGAAUUGCCGUUGCUCAAUGGAUAAAAGGUA
RNAcentral lists this ribosomal RNA (366 nucleotides) under uncultured organism. RNAcentral describes it as "bacterial LSU rRNA". It matches the Rfam family "Bacterial large subunit ribosomal RNA", at positions 2099 to 2465 of the family's 2925-position model. The record is from RNAcentral.